UACGAAGGGUGCUAGCGUUGUUCGGAAUCACUGGGCGUAAAGCGCGCGUAGGCGGCUAUUCAAGUCAGGGGUGAAAUCCUGAGGCUCAACCUCAGAAUUGCCUCUGAAACUGUAUAGCUAGAGUGUCGUAGGGGAUAGCGGAAUUCCUAAUGUAGAGGUGAAAUUCGUAGAUAUUAGGAGGAACACCGGUGGCGAAGUCGGCUAUCUGGACGACAUCUGACGCUUAGGCGCGAAAGCGCGGGGAUCAAACAGG
This 253-nucleotide ribosomal RNA is filed under the name uncultured bacterium. RNAcentral describes it as "partial 16S ribosomal RNA". It matches the Rfam family "Bacterial small subunit ribosomal RNA", at positions 524 to 776 of the family's 1533-position model. The record is from RNAcentral.